This 24-nucleotide ribosomal RNA is filed under the name Phaeoclavulina argentea. RNAcentral's name for it is "partial 18S ribosomal RNA". The record is from RNAcentral. Lineage: Eukaryota; Fungi; Basidiomycota; Agaricomycetes; Gomphales; Gomphaceae.
CUUUAGGGACUGCGGACGACAUUA